RNAcentral lists this ribosomal RNA (528 nucleotides) under uncultured bacterium. RNAcentral's name for it is "bacterial SSU rRNA". It matches the Rfam family "Bacterial small subunit ribosomal RNA", at positions 36 to 555 of the family's 1533-position model. The record is from RNAcentral.
CUGGCGGCAUGCCUAACACAUGCAAGUCGAACGGGCUCAUAUUGAAACCUAGUGAUGUAUGAGUUAGUGGCGGACGGGUGAGUAACGCGUGGAGAACCUGCCGUAUACUGGGGGAUAACACUUAGAAAUAGGUGCUAAUACCGCAUAAGCGCACAGCUUCGCAUGAAGCAGUGUGAAAAACUCCGGUGGUAUACGAUGGAUCCGCGUCUGAUUAGCUGGUUGGCGGGGUAACAGCCCACCAAGGCGACGAUCAGUAGCCGGCCUGAUAGGGUGAACGGCCACAUUGGGACUGAGACACGGCCCAAACUCCUACGGGAGGCAGCAGUGGGGAAUAUUUGCACAAUGGGGGAAUCCCUGAUGCAGCGACGCCGCGUGAGUGAAGAAGUAUUUCGGUAUGUAAAGCUCUAUCAGCAGGGAAGAAAUACUGACCUUACGGUCAGCAGACGGUACCUGACUAAGAAGCCCCGGCUAACUACGUGCCAGCAGCCGCGGUAAUACGUAGGGGGCAAGCGUUAUCCCGGAUUUACU